AGAACGUCCUCUCUACGUUCCUGGAGCUUCCCCAAGUCUAUGUAUGAGCAUCGAAACCUCCUCUGGUGCUUUAGUUUGGGUUGACGUUGGAUGGUUUUUCUUGGCAAAGGCUCGCUGAUUAAAAUGGGAGAGGAAUAGGACACGCCGGAUUGUCAAAUUGGCAGUGUGGCAUGCACAGGCUGAAUUUUUAGGGUCGGAAAUGCUUUAUGACAAAUUUCCAUUUACUGCUUUGGAUGUGUGUAACUUUUUACCGCACUUCCUAUUUUCGUUCCUUGUCUUUAUUCCACCAAGCCAUCUUUCUUUCCAUCAUGCUGAUAGUGCAUCGAGUUGAUCUAAUUAUGCAACCGAUGUUGGCACUUGGGAGGUGAGACUGCUGCACGGAGAAUUCUAGCACCUUUUAGCUAACACUUGUAAUGAGGUGUUUGCAAGUUGCAGCUGGGUCGCAUCCAUUGCGUUUUUUUGAUGAAUAGAUUCAAUCAGACUGGCUUUUAUCGUGCAUUGUCGAUCCCUUGAGUUAUGCUCUUUUUACCUAUUAAGAUCCAAUUUGGGAGAAAUGUUACAUCUUUGGCAGAGGUCGUCAUUCUCCGAGUGACUGUAGCAUUUUAAUUUGCAUUGAUUUAGUAAAUGCCAUUGAAUCGGCCUGGGCUGGACUAUUCUCUAAUGAAUUAGUGAGAAGUGGAGCAGGCUUUUUUUUUUUUUUUGCAAUGUGAGAGGUCGAGCAGGCUUCUUUUUUUUUUUUUGCAAUCUGCUGCCAAUUAUCAGUGUGAAGGUGAUUACCUCACGGCACACCAUGUGGUGUGAGGAAACACGGAAAUGCUGAAACAGGACACUGUUCAGAUGAGCUGGAGAACAUGUGAGAUUCACUCAAGAAAAUUAGAAUUGAGGCUAGCUUGUUUCCCAGAUGAUGGUGCCAAAGUGGGUUUUACAAAGAAUGCUUAUGGUUCAUUAGGAGUUUGGGGUGGAGGAAGCAAACACUUCUAAUUAAGUUGAGGCCAGAUUCGAUUUAAGUCAGAGGAGAAGCAUUUCCUCCAGCAACUGUUUGAAAAAGACUUGUCUUCAUGCAAUUUUCAAAGUGUCUUAAACAGAAUAAGCAGAUGUAGUUUUAUGAGCCCUCUAAUACUUUGUGAUUAGCUUGUACUAUGGGGUGUGUUAACUCAAUUCUUUUUUCUUUCAGAUUUGCUCAUAAAAUGGUCAGGGCAGGCAAUCGUAAAAUAAAAAUUAAAAAACGUUAUUCUAUUAGCCAAUCAGGAAACUACCUGAAGCUUUUGCCAGCCACAGUGUAACAAAUUAAGUGCUUGUAUAAAGUGUCUCACAAGUCAUUCACCACAAUAAAAAAUGACCAGAAAAAUGUUCUGAUAAGCCACAGCUGAUAAGUCACCAUGGUCCAUAUAUGGCCCUUGCCGAGAAAGUGAAGCCAUUCCGCGUCUCCCUCGCAGUUGUUUGGACAAGUUGCUGUAAACGUCUUCCCAUAGGGAGGACUAGUCAAAAUUAACUGCGCUCUUUAAAGUCAACAGCUCCCAUUGCCUUACUGCCUUUCUCCUUAUAUAGCCUCAAAUUGCUCGUUUUGUUUGGCUGCAGCGUUACAUUUCCCGCAGGGGUGGUGGACGGUGGGUGAACCCCUCAGAGAGGACAUCACCGGAGGCAGACGAGGUCACUGGCUGCAGGCGCCUUUUAGCAGUAAUGGAUCCCCCCUUUGUCUUUGCUAUCUAGAUUUGCCCAAAGGGUCAAGAGGAGCCACGCUUCCUGUCCCUCGGCUCACGGAUACCCCUCUGACUGUUUUACUGGUUCUCUCCUUCUUCCGAUUUAUCAUCUCAGCCAUUGAUGUAGCCUCUUGCAGAAACCAUUAAAGACCAAAGAGUAUCACCCCAAACCAGAUGUUUGGCCCUAACCAAGUGCAAUGUGGCAGCCAUGCAUACAAAGUCCACGACAGACUGAUGAGCUGGUCAUAAAGCAGUGCACCUAGAAGACGCCUGUUUUUAAUUUGAACAAGCCUAUCAUCACACAGGAUACGGUACAUUACAAACUGAGAUAUGAGGUGAGUGAUGUCAGGUCUCUGGUGAAAACACAUCUUCAUUCCCCUUUUUUGGAUAUGAUGGAAUGCACCCCAAAGACUUAGAAACUCACAAUUGACAAUAAAACACAUUGAAAAAUGUAUAGUCCAACAGUUCACUUGUCAGGCAAAAUGGAUUUUUUUUUUUUCAUGAUUCGUUGGACAUGUCAUGCAAGAAAACUCAUCUUUCCGUCACAGCCUAUCUAGCUCCUUCUCUUUACUUGGCUGAGGCAUUCUUUUAUUUUAUUUUUUCUUCCUAGAUUAGUGGAUAAACGAUCAUCUAUAAAUGUAUUGAAUGUUUAGAUUCUUUUUGUGGGAAUGCACUGUCAGCAAUUUCCAAGUGGGCAAUCAUUUUAAAUCUCAAAUAUAUCAUCUAUAUAUGUACCACCAUUUGAGGACAAUGACAUAGUUCAUAUAGUAUGUAAUUUAGCUGUCAGAUGCGAGAAUGCAGAGGCUGUUUGGAGUUAUUUUAAGGUCUGGCAAGCUUUUCUUCCAUGCGACUUUAGGUUUGAUGGUCCCUAGAGGAAAUACAGGCGUAGAGUGUGGCGUCUGCUACGGCCAGAUGGAGCUCCUGCACAACCAAGAUGAAGAAUUUCGGGGGGGUAGAUGUGAUGGCCUGUGCUCUGUUACGGUUGGCAAGUUUCUGUUACCAAUCAGAUUUGGAAAGCAACGAAAACGACAAUCUUCUCCUCAGUGGAAUUUUGCCCUCUUUGUUUGCAGGAAACAUUUUUAUGACUUGGCUUGAGGGGAAAAGGACAUAAAUACUUUGGAAACUCCUAUGAUAAACCAUAAUGACGUCACUAUUUCAUAUCUGGAAUGUGAGUGUAACUUUUUUUCCUCAGAAUGGAAAUUUGAGAUUUAAGGAAAAAGUGACCACAAAUUCAACAGAAACACAAAGAGUUGCUAACAAUAUUAUCGAAACCAAAAAGUAUUGCUUUAUCUUGGGGCUUCCAGUAGAGCUGUAUUGUCAAUAGUCUAAAGUCAAACAUCCCAGAAGUUCAAGAUAAAAAGAUGAAAUACGCCUUUAAUGUUGCAAACGGAGUCAUUCCUGGCACCCCCACGUAAUAUCUGCCUAUUGCUCACGUUUUUAUUCAACAAGAUAAUCCUGCCUGAAAUCAAGCACAACUGGACAAUCC
This is a long non-coding RNA of Syngnathus typhle (broad-nosed pipefish), 3186 nucleotides long. RefSeq lists it as uncharacterized. The transcript is spliced from 2 exons. The record is from RefSeq and is a predicted model, not a curated record. Lineage: Eukaryota; Metazoa; Chordata; Actinopteri; Syngnathiformes; Syngnathidae.